GACGUAGGAUGCAAGCGUUGCCCGGAAUUACUGGGCGUAAAGAGCUCGUAGGCGGGGGCGUGCGUCUGAAAGGAAAUCUCAAGGCUCAACCUUGGGGCUUUUUCAGAUACGGCGCUUCUUGAGGGUGAGAGAGGAAAGCGGAAUUCCAGGUGUAGCGGUGAAAUGCGUAGAUAUCUGGAGGAACACCAGCGGCGAAGGCGGCUUUCUGGCUCAUUCCUGACGCUGAGGAGCGAAAGCGUGGGUAGCGAACGGG
RNAcentral lists this ribosomal RNA (253 nucleotides) under uncultured bacterium. RNAcentral's name for it is "partial 16S ribosomal RNA". It matches the Rfam family "Bacterial small subunit ribosomal RNA", at positions 524 to 776 of the family's 1533-position model. The record is from RNAcentral.